CGGAGGAAAAGAAACCAACAGGGAUUGCCCCAGUAACGGCGAGUGAAGCGGCAACAGCUCAAAUUUGAAAUCUGGCCCCCAGGGUCCGAGUUGUAAUUUGCAGAGGAUGCUUUUGGCGAGGUGCCUUCCGAGUUCCCUGGAACGGGACGCCAUAGAGGGUGAGAGCCCCGUCUGGUCGGACACCGAGCCUCUGUAAAGCUCCUUCGAAGAGUCGAGUAGUUUGGGAAUGCUGCUCAAAAUGGGAGGUAUAUGUCUUCUAAAGCUAAAUAUUGGCCAGAGACCGAUAGCGCACAAGUAGAGUGAUCGAAAGAUGAAAAGCACUUUGAAAAGAGGGUUAAAAAGUACGUGAAAUUGUUGAAAGGGAAGCGCCUAUGACCAGACUUGGGCCCGGUGAAUCACCCAGCGUUCUCGCUGGUGCACUUUGCCGGGCACAGGCCAGCAUCAGUUUGGCGCGGGGGAGAAAGGCUUUGGGAAUGUGGCUCCCCCGGGAGUGUUAUAGCCCACUGCGCAAUACCCUGCGCCGGACUGAGGUACGCGCAUUGCAAGGAUGCUGGCGUAAUGGUCAUCAGCGACCCGUCUUG
RNAcentral lists this ribosomal RNA (581 nucleotides) under Pleurodesmospora coccorum. Its description in RNAcentral is "partial large subunit ribosomal RNA". It matches the Rfam family "Eukaryotic large subunit ribosomal RNA", at positions 51 to 656 of the family's 3401-position model. The record is from RNAcentral. Lineage: Eukaryota; Fungi; Ascomycota; Sordariomycetes; Hypocreales; Cordycipitaceae.